This 4852-nucleotide long non-coding RNA is filed under the name Gossypium barbadense (sea-island cotton). RNAcentral's name for it is "long non-coding RNA (GBAR_LNC011691)". Lineage: Eukaryota; Viridiplantae; Streptophyta; Magnoliopsida; Malvales; Malvaceae. The record is from RNAcentral.
UGAAAAUGAGCUGAUAUUUUUCAUUAACCCAUGAACAAGGCAUUAAGCCAUUACAUAUAUCAGUCAAUAAGUAAAACAAACAAGUAAUCACCUACUAACAUACCUAACACCACUAAAAUGCCUAGUAACUUGGUAAACUUGAUUGAAAAACAAAAAGGCUUCUACCUAAGCUUGUCAUUCAGCACCUAAUUACAUCAAAAUGCAGCUACCAACUAAGUUUGAUCCUAACUAAAUACAAAACAUUCAAUUAAGGAAACCAAAUGAAUAGCUUCAGCUUGCUGCAUCAACUUGCUGCUGAAGCACGUUCCUUGCAUGGCCACCUUUGCUGCUAUAUGGGAGCUGACUUCAACACUCCUCCUCAGCUUCUAUGCAGCAGACUCCUAGCUUCCUCUUCAGGCUUAGAUAUCUUGAUACACCAAGAGGCUUUGUGAAGAUAUCGGCAAUCUGAUUUUCAGAACUGCAAUGGAUUAGCUCAAUUUCUCGAGCUUGUUCCAUUUCUCUUAUCACAUGGAGUUUGAUGUUGAAAUGUUUUGUCCUGCCAUGAAAGACAGGAUUUUUAGCAAUAGCAACUGCUGACUUGUUGUCACAAUGUAUCACAGUUGCUUCAUUCUGCUGUAGAUUCAAGUCACUCAAAAUUUUUCUCAGCCACAUGGCUUGAUUAACAGCAUUGGCAGCUGCUACAUACUCUGCUUCUGCUGUCGAUUGAGCCACCAUUGUUUGUUUUCUUGAGCUCCAACAAAUCAUAGCUGAGCCAAGUGUAAAAGCAUAGCCAGAAGUGCUCUUCAUGUCAUCCUUUGAACCAGCCCAAUCGCUAUCAGUGUAGCCAAUCAGUUUCAAUUCUUCAGCCUUUCUAAACUGUAUUCCAUGGUUUAAGGUGCCUUUAAUGUAUCUUAGCACCCUUUUCCCAGCCUUGUAAUGUUGCUGGUUACAGCAGUGCAUGAACCUUGAUAGCAUGCUUACAGCAAACAAAAUGUCGGGUCUUGUUGCUGUCAAAUACAAUAAACACCCAACAAGGCUUCUGUAAUCUGUUUCACAGACAGAUUCAUGUUCCUCCUGGCUCGAUAGCUUUAUGCCAAUAGCCAUUGGUGUGCUCACUGGUUUACAAUUCUCCAUUGAGAAUUUAGCCAGCACUUUCAAGGCAAAUGUCUUUUGUUUCAAGAAGAUUCCUCCUUCUAUUUGAUUGACUUCCAUUCCUAGGAAAUAUGUCAUCAAUCCUAGGUCUGACAUCUCAAACAUUUUCUUCAUUCUUGCUUUGAAAUCAACCAUCAUAAGCUUGUCUCCUCCAGUCACGAGAAGAUCAUCAACAUAUAGUGACACAAUAAGCUGUGUUUCAGCUCCAUUCUUCUUAACAUAGAGUGUUGGCUCACUAGCACUCCUUUCAAAUCCCAAACUGACCAAAUAUGAGUCAAUUCGAGCAUACCAGGCUCGAGGGGCCUGUUUUAGGCCAUACAAGGCCUUUCUUAGCCUAUACACCAAUUGUUCCUUACCAGGCACUAUAAAACCUGGGGGUUGCUCGAUGUAUAUCUCUUCUUCUAGAAAUCCAUUGAGGAAUGCAGACUUGACAUCCAUUUGGUGGAUUGUCCACUGGUUCUGAGCAGCAACUGCAAUCAGCAAUCUGAUUGUAUCGAGUCUGGCUACUGGAGCAAAUGUUUCCAUGUAGUCCAGACCAUACCUUUGACUGAAGCCCUUUACAACUAGCCUGGCCUUUAGCUUGUUUAAGCUUCCAUCUGCAUUGUGCUUCACUCGAUAGACCCAUUUUACACCGAUAGUCUUUCUGUUGGCAGGCUUUUCAACCAACUCCCAUGUCUGAUUCUUUACAAUCAUGUUGAUUUCAUCAACCAUAGCUUGUUUCCAACCUUCAUCUGCCUCAGCCUCUUCAAAACUGCUAGGUUCUGCUAAUGCAACCUGUGCCCUUUCAUAAAUAUCUUCUAGGGGCCUUGUGCCUCUCACAGGCACAUCAUCAACAUCCAUUUCAGGUUCUAGCUGCUCAAGUUCAGCUUGAUUAGGCACUAGGUCUUCUGAAAUUGCUUCUGGCUCAUUUUUCUCCCAAUUCCAGCAGGCUUUUUCAUCAAAGAUGACAUCUCUGCUCACUUGGACUUUGUUUGUCAAGGGAUCCAGAACCCUGUAGCCCUUUUUGACUGAGCUGUAGCCUACUAGAACACCUGGUUGAGCCCUUUUAGAGAGCUUGUCUCUCUUUGCUGCUGGUAUUUGUGCAUAACACAGGCAACCAAACACCUUCAGGUGUGCCAAGGAAGGCUUGAAACCAAACCAAGCCUCGAAAGGUGUCUCGGAUGCAAGAGCUUUAGUGGGAAGCCUGUUCUGAAGGUAAACAGCAGUGUUUACUGCCUCAGCCCACAUGGUCUUGGGCAGUUUCUUCUCAAACAUCAGACAUCUGGCCAUAUCCAUCAGACUUCUAUUCUUUCUUUCAGCUACCCCAUUCUGCUGAGGUGUGUAGACAUUUGUAAGCUGAUGUUUGAUACCAGCAUCAUUGCAAAUGGCUUGAAACUGAGCUGAAGUGUACUCAGUGCCAUUGUCUGUCCUUAUUGAUUUCAGCUUGCAACCUGUUUCUGUUUCUACAGCAUUUUUAAACUUCACAAACACUUGAGCUACCUCAGACUUGUGUUUUAAAAAGAAAAUCCAGCAAAACCUUGUAAGAUCAUCAAUAAAGAGGAUGAAAUACCUGUUUUUGCUGAGUGAUUCAGUCCUCAUCGGGCCACAUACAUCAGAGUGCACCAGCUGUAGUCUUUCAGUAGCUCUCCAAGCUGAAUUUGUAGGAAAUGGCAGUCUUGCCUGUUUCCCCAUUUGGCAGACUUCACACACAUCAUCAUGCUCCACUGAGCUGGUGAAGUUCUCUGCCAUGCCCUCUUUGGCCAAUCGAGCCAUUGAUCUGAAGUUGGCAUGUCCAAGCCUUUGAUGCCAAAGCUUGGAGUCUCCAACAGAGGCUGUGUAUGUUGAGUUUGAGUCAUUUGCCCAGUGAACCUCAAAGCAUUUAUCAGUCAUUGUGACUGUCAUAAGGCUUGAUCCACUUGGAUCAGUAAUAUGGCAUUGUUUAUCCUUGAACACAACAGAAUAACCUUUCUCGAGCAGUUGAGCUAUGCUGAGAAGGUUUCUGUCAAUCUGUGGUACCAACAGCACAUUUGGAAUGAUCUUGUUGCCUGUGGGAGUAGAUAUCAGCACUUCUCCUCUUCCUUCAGCCCUUAUAAACUGACCAUUUCCAACCUUGACCUUGGUUUUAUAACUUCUGUCCAAGGUUUUAAACAAGGAGGCAUCUGGUGACAUGUGGUUAGUGCAACCACUGUCCAGCAGCCAGCCUUUAGAGCAUUUCUUCUCAGAAGCUACACAGGAAACAACAAAGACCUGUUCUUCUUGGUCACUACUGUCCUCAGCUACUCGAGCUUCAACCUUUGACUGCUGAAAUUGAUUCUGCCUUGGCUUACUUCUGUUUUUGCAGACCCUUUCAACAUGACCCUUCUUCUUGCAGUGUUGGCAUACUGCAUCUGGCCUAAACCAGCAUCUGUCUUCUGGAUGGCCAGGCUUCUUGCAAUAUCUGCAGGGCUGGUCAUUGCUCCUUGCAGCAUCAGGCUUAGGCCUGUUUUUCCAAGGCCUUUUGCCUCUUUGAGCAUUAGUGCUCGAGGUUUCUCUGGCCUUGGCUUGAAAUGCACCUUCUUGGUGAUCUUCAGCUCUGCUAGCUCUUCUUUGUUCCUGAGCAUAAAAGGUGUUGAUUAGCUCAGUCAAAGAGAUGCUAGCAAGAUCUCUUGAGUCCUCUAGAGAGGAUAUCUUGGCCUCAUAUCUCUCAGGCAAAGUGGAGAGGACUUUCUCCACAAUUCUUGCCUCAUCAAAGUGCUCACCUAGGAGCCUUAUGCUGUUAACCACUGCUAUAAUUCUAUCUGAGUACUGCUUCACUGUUUCUUCUUCCUUCAUCUUCAAAUUCUCGAAAUCCCUUCUCAAGUUUAGUAGCUGCUGUUGCCUUGUUCUCUCAGUGCCUUGAAACUCCUCCUUAAGCUUAUCCCAGGCCUGUUUUGGAGUCUCACAGGCCAUGAUUCUGGUGAAGAUGACAUCUGACACACAGUUUUGGAUGCAGGACAUGGCUUUGUGCCUUUUGGUCCUCUCAUCAGCAUGUUGCCUAAUCUGAGCUACUGUGGGAUUAGCCCUCAGUGGUGCUGGCUCAGUAUCUGUGUUGACAACUUCCCACAGAUCAAAAGCCUGUAGGUAAGUCUUCAUCUUGACCAGCCAUAUGUGAAAGCCUUCUCCAUUGAAGACUGGUGGGGCUGCUGGUGAAAAUCCUGAAGAAGCCAUCAAGUUCUUUGUUUUGAAGCAACAGGUCCACUAAGACAAGAGCUCUCGAUACCAAUUGUUGGUGCAAGAGGCAGCAGCAAGCUGUUUCUAGUCUUGCUUGAGUAGUAAGGCUCGAGGCUUGGUGAAGAAGCAAACUCGGAAGCAGAAAAAUAGAAAGAUGAAGCUAGCAAGUGAAAACAGAAAAGAGAGAAAGAGAUUGAAUGAAAAUGAGCUGAUAUUUUUCAUUAACCCAUGAACAAGGCAUUAAGCCAUUACAUAUAUCAGUCAAUAAGUAAAACAAACAAGUAAUCACCUACUAACAUACCUAACACCACUAAAAUGCCUAGUAACUUGGUAAACUUGAUUGAAAAACAAAAAGGCUUCUACCUAAGCUUGUCAUUCAGCACCUAAUUACAUCAAAAUGCAGCUACCAACUAAGUUUGAUCCUAACUAAAUACAAAACAUUCAAUUAAGGAAACCAAAUGAAUAGCUUCAGCUUGCUGCAUCAACUUGCUGCUGAAGCACGUUCCUUGCAUGGCCACCUUUGCUGCUAUAUGGGAGCUGACUUCAACAGAUC